UUCGCCCUUUUCCGGUUGAUCCUGCCGGAGGUUACUGCUAUCGGUGUUCGACUAAGCCAUGCGAGUCAAAUGUUCUUCGUGAACAUGGCGGACUGCUCAGUAACACGUGGAUAACCUGCCCUUAGGUUCGGCAUAACUCCGGGAAACUGGAGAUAAUUCCGAAUAGGUCAAAUAUGCUGGAAUGCUUUUUGGCCAAAAGAUCUCGGUUGCCUAAGGAUGGAUCUGCGGUCUAUCAGGUUGUAGUGGGUGUAACGUACCUACUAGCCUACGACGGAUAUGGGUUGUGAGAGCAAGAGCCCAGAGAUGGAUUCUGAGACAUGAAUCCAGGCCCUACGGGGCGCAGCAGGCGCGAAAACUUUACAAUGCGGGAAACCGCGAUAAGGGGACACCGAGUGCCAGCAUUUAUGUUGGCUGUCCACAUGUGUAAACGGCAUGUGUUAGCAAGGGCCGGGCAAGACCGGUGCCAGCCGCCGCGGUAACACCGGCGGCCCGAGUGGUAAUCACUUUUAUUGGGUCUAAAGGGUCCGUAGCCGGUUUGAUCAGUUCUUCGGGAAAUCUGACAGCUCAACUGUUAGGCUUCCGGGGAAUACUGUCAGACUUGGGACCGGGAGAGGUAAGAGGUACUACAGGGGUAGGAGUGAAAUCUUGUAAUCCCUGUGGGACCACCAGUGGCGAAGGCGUCUUACCAGAACGGGUCCGACGGUGAGGGACGAAAGCUGGGGGCACGAACCGGAUUAGAUACCCGGGUAGUCCCAGCCGUAAACGAUGUUCGCUAGGUGUCAGGG
This 785-nucleotide ribosomal RNA is filed under the name uncultured archaeon. RNAcentral's name for it is "bacterial SSU rRNA". It matches the Rfam family "Archaeal small subunit ribosomal RNA", at positions 1 to 779 of the family's 1478-position model. The record is from RNAcentral.